AAGGAUUUAAGUUAAAUUAAACUAAUAACCUUCAAAGUUAUCAAUAGAGUUUCUCUAAGCCUUG
Molecule: transfer RNA, 64 nt
Filed under: Nitidulidae sp. BMNH 1274330
Lineage: Eukaryota; Metazoa; Arthropoda; Insecta; Coleoptera; Nitidulidae
Description: tRNA-Trp
Source: RNAcentral